AUUUAAUUUUACACUGUUUUUAAACUUUAACUUUUCUACAGGCAGCAGGGGGACUGCCUGUCAUUUCAGACAGGCCCCUGCAGGCACUGCUGUGGACGGCUAUUCCGUCCAUGUGAUCGCGUCCUCAUCGCGAUCACAUGGCCUGGGAGGGACGGAUGAGCAGCAGGGGGACUCCCUGGGAUGCCGGGCAAGUCCCCCAUUGCGAUCGCUUGCGUGGGAUCGCCGGCGAGCAGGUAAGUGCAUAGGACGGCGGGGAUGUACUAUGCCGUCCGCCGGCGUUUAGGACUGGGUCCCCAAGGAUGUCCUAGUACGCCCGCUGUCCUUAAGGUGUUAAACAAGAGGAGUAUUUAAAACAUACUGUCAACUGACAGCAAGGCCAUCAAGAGUACGGUGAUAAUAUAAAUACAAUAUAGAAAAUCUAUUAAUGUAGUUUCCUAGGAAGCCCCCAUGUGUUUUAUUAUUUAUAAAGCGCCCGCAAAUUCAGUAGCGCUGUACAAUGUGUAGCUUGUCUCUGUUCCAUUCUCUUAUAAACUAUACAGUAUGAUGGCUCUAUAUAAAUGAUGAUCACAAAUAUUUCCUGAUCAGUAAAGGUGAAAAGUAACUCCUCCUACUCUCAGGGAGCAGAGCAGCAAUGUGAGAGGUUCCCAGCGAGCAUUGUGUGUACAGGUGGUCUUCAUUUAGCAACCUACCUGUUUUACGACAGCUCGCACUUAUGACGUAAGUGGGAGCCGUCGUAGGGAUUCCCUGCUCUGGUGCGCAUGUCUAUCCUGAACAUAGACAGACGGACGAGAGCAGGAAAUCCCUCUAAUCUAUGUUCAGGGAAGUUUCCCCGAACAUAGAAAAGCGCACCAGAGCAGGGACUCCAUCAAAUUUCUCUGAACAUUGAUUAGAGGGAUUCCCUGCUCUUGUGCGUUUGUCUAUGUUUGAGGACGUUUCCCCUAACAUAGACAAACGCACCCAAAGGAAAAAAAUAAAUUAAUUGCAUGCAUGUUUUCACUAGAGUGGGAUAUCUACUAAACAUUUGUUGUGUGUUUUUUUUUUUUUUGCUUUAUUCUCCCCUCUCUGUAGUGGAGUGUCCUUUUUAAGAUCAGCUAAGCUGUCAUAACCUUUACCCCACGGACACAUUGUCUUGGUUUGCUCUUUGACGCCGACCUUUCCUUCACACCUCACAUAAAAUCCAUCACUAAAUAUUGUCCCUUGCACCUUACAAGAAACACUUCCCAUGUUUACUCAUUUCUCGUUCAGGUUGCCCGUGCCCAGAUUGUCCCUCUACAGUCCAUAAUAAACAUCUCUGCCAGACACCCCUACCUUAUAUCCAGCAACGCUCACACUUACCCCUUUUUCUGUUUCUACACUGGCUUCCUAUUUCAUUUAGGAUUCGAUACAAACUUCUUGUGCUUACUUCCAAAUCUCUCCAUAACCAUGCCUCUGCUUAUAUCUCCUCCUUCAGAUGUUCUCCAGACCCAUUCUCUUCCCACUGCUGAUAACCUGUUAUUGUACUGCUUCCACGCCAUGGACUCUCACCUGCAGAUUAUGCCCUCCUUUUGGGACACCCGACUCUCCCUGUCUCUGCAAUCCUACAAAUUUUUUUUUAAAAAUCCUAAAAACACACUGUGGCAAACCUAGCCACUUGGACAAUAACUAGAGACUGUGCCUUUAAGGGUUGCCAAUAGGUCGGGCGAGAUAUGCGCUUUACACUUAUGUAGAUGUUAAUGUAUUUUCCGUAUUGCCUGUAAUGCUGUUUCCGCCGAAUGCAAAUGGCGGUUUUGUAUGGGGAUUCUCUUUCGUUUCACGAAC
Molecule: long non-coding RNA, 1797 nt
Filed under: Pelobates cultripes (western spadefoot toad)
Lineage: Eukaryota; Metazoa; Chordata; Amphibia; Anura; Pelobatidae
Source: RNAcentral